UGCCAGCAGCCGCGGUAAUACAGAGGGUGCGAGCGUUAAUCGGAAUUACUGGGCGUAAAGGGCGCGUAGGCGGUUUGGUCAGUCGGAUGUGAAAGCCCCGGGCUUAACCUGGGAAUGCCAUUCGAUACUGCCUGACUUGAGUAUGGUAGAGGGAAGCGGAAUUCCGGGUGUAGCGGUGAAAUGCGUAGAGAUCCGGAGGAACACCAGUGGCGAAGGCGGCUUCCUGGACCGAUACUGACGCUGAGACGCGAAAGCGUGGGGAGCAAACAGGAUUAGAUA
This 279-nucleotide ribosomal RNA is filed under the name uncultured bacterium. RNAcentral's name for it is "partial 16S ribosomal RNA". It matches the Rfam family "Bacterial small subunit ribosomal RNA", at positions 506 to 784 of the family's 1533-position model. The record is from RNAcentral.